GACGAACGCUGGCGGCGUGCCUAAUACAUGCAAGUAGAACGCACAGUUUAUACCGUAGCUUGCUACACCAUAGACUGUGAGUUGCGAACGGGUGAGUAACGCGUAGGUAACCUGCCUGGUAGCGGGGGAUAACUAUUGGAAACGAUAGCUAAUACCGCAUAAUAUUGAUUAUUGCAUGAUAAUUGAUUGAAAGAUGCUAUUGCAUCACUACCAGAUGGACCUGCGUUGUAUUAGCUAGUAGGUGAGGUAACGGCUCACCUAGGCGACGAUACAUAGCCGACCUGAGAGGGGGAUCGGCCACACUGGGACUGAGACCCGGCCCAGACUCCUACGGGAGGCAGCAGUAGGGAAGCUUCGGCAAUGGACGAAAGUCUGACCGAGCAACGCCGCGUGAGUGAAGAAGGUUUUCGGAUCGUAAAGCUCUGUUGUAAGAGAAGAACGGGUGUGAGAGCGGAAAGUUCACACUGUGACGGUAUCUUACCAGAAAGAGACGGCUAACUACGUG
This 505-nucleotide ribosomal RNA is filed under the name uncultured bacterium. RNAcentral describes it as "partial 16S ribosomal RNA". It matches the Rfam family "Bacterial small subunit ribosomal RNA", at positions 28 to 507 of the family's 1533-position model. The record is from RNAcentral.